RNAcentral lists this ribosomal RNA (431 nucleotides) under uncultured bacterium. RNAcentral describes it as "partial 16S ribosomal RNA". It matches the Rfam family "Bacterial small subunit ribosomal RNA", at positions 29 to 507 of the family's 1533-position model. The record is from RNAcentral.
AACGAACGCUGGCGGCAGGCUUAACACAUGCCAGUCGAACGCCCCGCAAGGGUAGUGGCAGACGGGUGAGUAACGCGUGGGAACAUACCCUUUUCUACGGAAUAGCUCUGGGAAACUGGAAUUAAUACCGUAUACGCCCUACGGGGGAAAGAUUUAUCGGGGAAGGAUUGGCCCGCGUUGGAUUAGCUAGUUGGUGGGGUAAAGGCCUACCAAGGCGACGAUCCAUAGCUGGUCUGAGAGGAUGAUCAGCCACAUUGGGACUGAGACACGGCCCAAACUCCUACGGGAGGCAGCAGUGGGGAAUAUUGGACAAUGGGCGCAAGCCUGAUCCAGCCAUGCCGCGUGAGUGAUGAAGGCCUUAGGGUUGUAAAGCUCUUUCACCGAUGAAGAUAAUGACGGUAGUCGGAGAAGAAGCCCCGGCUAACUUCGUG